AUUACAUGACAGAAAUGAGUUAAAACUAAAUGAUUUUAUAUGAAAAAGAGAUAAAUAUGUAAAUAUAAAUUGUUAUUAGUAUUUAUUGUGUAGUAAGUAUUUAAUAAAAUAGUUCAAAUAUAGUGGAAAUACUAGUAACAUUAAGAUAAUUCUUAUGCCUAUCAAAAAUACUACAUUUGUCUGGACUGAAUAACAAUAAAA
This 201-nucleotide unclassified non-coding RNA is filed under the name Melitaea cinxia (Glanville fritillary). Its description in RNAcentral is "misc RNA ENSMCXG00005000532.1". The record is from RNAcentral. Lineage: Eukaryota; Metazoa; Arthropoda; Insecta; Lepidoptera; Nymphalidae.